This 253-nucleotide ribosomal RNA is filed under the name uncultured Allostella sp. RNAcentral describes it as "uncultured Stella sp. partial 16S ribosomal RNA". It matches the Rfam family "Bacterial small subunit ribosomal RNA", at positions 524 to 776 of the family's 1533-position model. The record is from RNAcentral. Lineage: Bacteria; Pseudomonadati; Pseudomonadota; Alphaproteobacteria; Rhodospirillales; Allostellaceae.
UACGAAGGGGGCUAGCGUUGUUCGGAAUUACUGGGCGUAAAGGGCGCGCAGGCGGCCUUUGAAGUCGGGCGUGAAAGCCCCGGGCUCAACCCGGGAAUGGCGCUCGAUACUCUUGGGCUCGAGUUCGGGAGAGGAGGGUGGAAUUCCCAGUGUAGAGGUGAAAUUCGUAGAUAUUGGGAAGAACACCGGUGGCGAAGGCGGCUCUCUGGACCGAUACUGACGCUGAGGCGCGAAAGCGUGGGGAGCAAACAGG